Molecule: unclassified non-coding RNA, 473 nt
Filed under: Hevea brasiliensis (rubber tree)
Lineage: Eukaryota; Viridiplantae; Streptophyta; Magnoliopsida; Malpighiales; Euphorbiaceae
Source: RNAcentral
UGACCCACUUGAGAUUGCAAUGAAAGAGCUCCGAGAGAGGAAGAUACCAUUCACAAUUCGCCGUUACUUGCCUGAUGGAAGUUAUGAAGAUUGGGGAGUUGAUGAAUUGAUUGUUGAGGAUUCAUGGAAGAGACAAGUCGGAGGAACUUGACAGCGGAAGUCCCUCUUUGCUUGUUACUGCAGACUUAUUAGGAAUGUUAUCCGUCGUUUCUGAUUGUCUUACUCUGCUGAAUUGUUGCUGACUUAAUAUUACUAUGAAUAUAUUUUGGAAAACUCAAGUGAUUAGUCGUAUGGGCUGUUUCUUUUAGUACAAGUAUGGGCACCGAGUUUGGUACGCCUUGCAAACGCAACGGAGAUGAUUGCCAGUUGGGUCCUAAGACUCCACAAGUUUGUUAAACACCUUUUAAGCAGUUCUUUUGUUUUAGUAGUUUCUUUCUCAAGUCUUUAGAGAUGCAUUAAUCAGGUUGUUGCUG